UAUUUUCGUACUGCUACGGAAACGACGGUGGGCCAUCGGGGAGAGGGGAUGGCAAAUAACGGGAAUCUAUCGUCUCAUUUCUGUGCAAUUCUUGGUGUUCCGGAACAGGUGUCACUAUUUUUCCGGCCUUUGGUUGCGUUACAGGGUAUUGACUUUCGUUCCGCGUUCCAGUUUUUCUUUGUGUUGUUGAUAUUACUACCAAUAGUUGCCAACAUGAAGAGGUCGAGGACAAGCGAAAUGUGGUCAUAUUUCGAAACUCUUGAUCGAGAGUUUGCGAAAUGUACUUUGUGCGGUAAGAAAUUAUCGUACAAAUCGACGACGACGAAUUUAAAAAAACAUCGUCAGAAAUCACAUUUAAUUCUGAAUUUCUCUUCACAAAGACCUUCGGAGCUAGAUUUGGGUGAAACCCUUCCUGUAGAGGUGAUCCUUGGCACCAGUAGUGUGGAAGAGGAGCGAGAGGCACACCAACACCAGCAGAUGAGUCUCCGUUUAAUACUUGGGAUAUUAUAACAGUAAGUUAUAGCUCCAGAAGUCAGUCACCAGCAGCAGAUGUCACACAGUUAUAAAAUGGGAAACUUGAAGAAUAAGCUACAGAAGUCAGCAGCAGCAGCAGCAGCAGCCGCCAUCACACAGCCAUAAUGCGAGAAGCUUGAAGAAUGAUGUGUUAUGGCUCCGAUAGUCUUCCAGCAGCAGCAAAUGUUACACAGUCCUAUAGAGGCAAACUUGAAGUAUAAAGUAAUAGUGUUUUGCAUACAAUGGCAAACUUGACCUUUCGCUUAAAAUGGAGUAUCGGCUUUGAAAUUUGGUCACUGGAUACAACUAUAUUAUCUUUCAUGUUGAUAGCAGCAAUCAUCAGAUUGCAAUCCAGUGAAGUACCUGUGAGGCAUGAGAUGUCAAAAAUACUUGUGG
Schistocerca nitens (vagrant locust) is the source of this 909-nucleotide long non-coding RNA. RefSeq lists it as uncharacterized. NCBI's taxonomy places the organism in Eukaryota, Metazoa, Arthropoda, Insecta, Orthoptera, Acrididae. The record is from RefSeq and is a predicted model, not a curated record. The transcript has 6 exons.